This 76-nucleotide transfer RNA is filed under the name Prosthecobacter sp. Its description in RNAcentral is "tRNA-Leu". It matches the Rfam family "tRNA". From Rfam's summary of the family: Transfer RNA (tRNA) molecules are approximately 80 nucleotides in length. Their secondary structure includes four short double-helical elements and three loops (D, anti-codon, and T loops). Further hydrogen bonds mediate the characteristic L-shaped molecular structure. tRNAs have two regions of fundamental functional importance: the anti-codon, which is responsible for specific mRNA codon recognition, and the 3' end, to which the tRNAs corresponding amino acid is attached (by aminoacyl-tRNA synthetases). tRNAs cope with the degeneracy of the genetic code in two manners: having more than one tRNA (with a specific anti-codon) for a particular amino acid; and 'wobble' base-pairing, i.e. permitting non-standard base-pairing at the 3rd anti-codon position. Lineage: Bacteria; Pseudomonadati; Verrucomicrobiota; Verrucomicrobiia; Verrucomicrobiales; Verrucomicrobiaceae. The record is from RNAcentral. RNAcentral also lists the same sequence under 2 other names.
GCCCGCGUAGUCCAACAGCAGAGACAACCGUCUCAGAAGCGGUCGAGUGCAGGUGCAACUCCUGCCGUGGGCACCA